Molecule: long non-coding RNA, 433 nt
Organism: Callorhinus ursinus (northern fur seal)
Lineage: Eukaryota; Metazoa; Chordata; Mammalia; Carnivora; Otariidae
Source: RefSeq, a predicted model, not a curated record
UGCCAUGAGGUAGUGGCAGAAAACCAAUAUGUCUAUUUGACAAGAAUGGAUAGGGGCCCUUUUGAAUUUAUGUCCUUGCUCACUCGGAGGAAGUCAGAUCAACUGCUGACAGGACUCAGAUGCCCUCCUGGUUCCUGAUCCCAUAGGAGCACAGGCAACAAUCAUGGCCCCAUUUCAGUAGUUUGCUUCAAUCCCUCUUGUUGCUCAGAUUCUGUCCAUUGUCACUAGUGAUUGUCAUUAAAAGGUCUGUGCAGUGGUGCGUGAGGUCCACACGGACUGCCGAUCUCAACACCGUGGUCAGAGGAGGACGCGGGACUGUGGGUGCAUCGCCCUGGACCAGGGCAAACAGCUUCACCAAGUGUUAGCAGGUGAUGUGGAUGUACCAGGGAUUAGAUAGGGGGACGGAGAAGAGAGAGUACUGGAUGCUCUGAAG